This 492-nucleotide small RNA is filed under the name Atta cephalotes. RNAcentral's name for it is "sRNA LOC105626287". The record is from RNAcentral. Lineage: Eukaryota; Metazoa; Arthropoda; Insecta; Hymenoptera; Formicidae.
UUCCGUCGCGGGGGCCCGAUUUAAAGCGGUCACGAAAACAGGAGACUCGGCACCUCGAAGAACCUCUCGCAGUGAAAUAAAAGAUGUGUUUGCUUGAAAACUAUUUUUAUGUAACUACAAAAAUCAUCGAAAUAUACGUGUCUCGUCAAGUGACGAGUUUUAAAAUUUUAAUAAUACUAUGAAUGAACAUUAUAUAAUGUAUGAACAUUAAUAAUCGAAACUUUGGAAACACUUAACGUUACUCUAUUUUCAAAGAUUUGAUGAAUCCAAUUAAUACGAAGAGCCAAAUUUUUCUCUUUAAUUAAAAUAAAAAUAUAUAGAACAGAAAAAUUCAAAUUGUCAAAUUAAAAAACCAUUCACAUAGAAAACCAUUCCAUUCUACUUUAAGUUAUUGCAAUAUAAGUGACAACACAAUAACAUUUACGAUAUACGUUUUCAUCUUCGAAAACUACCUUUUACCCUCUUAUUUAGAUUUAUUGGAAAGGUAAAAAA